This 60-nucleotide transfer RNA is filed under the name Pontoscolex corethrurus. Its description in RNAcentral is "tRNA-His". Lineage: Eukaryota; Metazoa; Annelida; Clitellata; Crassiclitellata; Glossoscolecidae. The record is from RNAcentral.
AGAGAGGUAGGUUAUAAAACCGCUGAAUUGUGGUCCCAGAAAUGCUUUAUGCCCUUUCUC